GAUCAAUGAUGAGAACAGUCAAAUCUGAGCAUCAGAAGACUUUUCAGUUCACCUGAUGGUCUCUAUAGCUCUGGGA
RNAcentral lists this small nucleolar RNA (76 nucleotides) under Carlito syrichta (Philippine tarsier). RNAcentral's name for it is "Small nucleolar RNA U2-19 (ENSTSYG00000022938.2)". It matches the Rfam family "Small nucleolar RNA U2-19". Rfam says of the family: U2-19 is a member of the C/D class of snoRNA which contain the C (UGAUGA) and D (CUGA) box motifs. Lineage: Eukaryota; Metazoa; Chordata; Mammalia; Primates; Tarsiidae. The record is from Rfam by way of RNAcentral.